GGCAAUGGAUAUCUCGGCUCUUGCAUCGAUGAAGAGCGCAGCGAAAUGCGAUACGUGGUGCGAAUUGCAGAAUCCCGCGAAC
RNAcentral lists this ribosomal RNA (82 nucleotides) under Otoglossum chiriquense. RNAcentral describes it as "5.8S ribosomal RNA". It matches the Rfam family "5.8S ribosomal RNA", at positions 9 to 89 of the family's 154-position model. From Rfam's summary of the family: 5.8S ribosomal RNA (5.8S rRNA) is a component of the large subunit of the eukaryotic ribosome. RNAcentral also lists the same sequence under 4 other names. The record is from RNAcentral. Lineage: Eukaryota; Viridiplantae; Streptophyta; Magnoliopsida; Asparagales; Orchidaceae.